This 505-nucleotide unclassified non-coding RNA is filed under the name uncultured Glomus. Its description in RNAcentral is "SSU rRNA". It matches the Rfam family "Eukaryotic small subunit ribosomal RNA", at positions 569 to 1075 of the family's 1831-position model. The record is from RNAcentral. Lineage: Eukaryota; Fungi; Glomeromycota; Glomeromycetes; Glomerales; Glomeraceae.
AGCAGCCGCGGUAAUUCCAGCUCCAAUAGCGUAUAUUAAAGUUGUUGCAGUUAAAAAGCUCGUAGUUGAAUUUCGGGAUCAAUUAGUCGGUCGUGCCUCUGGUACGUACUGGUUUUAUUGGUUCCUCCCUUCUGACGAAACAUGAUGUCAUUAAUUUGGUGUCGUGGAGAAUCAGGACUGUUACCUUGAAAAAAUUAGAGUGUUUAUAGCAGGCUAACGCUUGAAUACAUUAGCAUGGAAUAAUGAAAUAGGACGUUCGACCCUAUUUUGUUGGUUUCUAGGAUCGACGUAAUGAUUAAUAGGGAUAGUUGGGGGCAUUAGUAUUCAAUUGUCAGAGGUGAAAUUCUUGGAUUUAUUGAAGACUAACUACUGCGAAAGCAUUUGCCAAGGAUGUUUUCAUUAAUCAAGAACGAAAGUUAGGGGAUCGAAGACGAUCAGAUACCGUCGUAGUCUUAACCAUAAACUAUGCCGACUAGGGAUCGGAUGAUGUUAAUUUUUUAAUGAC